CAAUGGACGAAAUCUGACGGAGCAACGCCGCGUGAGUGAUGAAGGUUUUCGGAUCGUAAAGCUCUGUUGUUANGGAAGAACAAGUGCCGUUCGAAUAGGGCGGCGCCUUGACGGUACCUAACCAGAAAGCCACGGCUAACUACGUGCCAGCAGCCGCGGUAAUACGUAGGUGGCAAGCGUUGUCCGGAAUUAUUGGGCGUAAAGCGCGCGCAGGUGGUUCCUUAAGUCUGAUGUGAAAGCCCACGGCUCAACCGUGGAGGGUCAUUGGAAACUGGGGAACUUGAGUGCAGAAGAGGAAAGUGGAAUUCCAAGUGUAGCGGUGAAAUGCGUAGAUAUUUGGAGGAACACCAGUGGCGAAGGCGACUUUCUGGUCUGUAACUGACACUGAGGCGCGAAAGCGUGGGGAGCAAACAGGGAUUAGAUACCCUGGUAGUCCACGCCGUAAACGAUGAGUGCUAAGUGUUAGGGGGUUUCCGCCCCUUAGUGCUGCAGCUAACGCAUUAAGCACUCCGCCUGGGGAGUACGGUCGCAAGACUGAAACUCAAAGGAA
Molecule: ribosomal RNA, 550 nt
Filed under: humic substances-degrading bacterium HS407
Lineage: Bacteria
Description: bacterial SSU rRNA
Rfam family: Bacterial small subunit ribosomal RNA
Source: RNAcentral